This 68-nucleotide transfer RNA is filed under the name Marmota monax (woodchuck). RNAcentral's name for it is "tRNA.Ala". The record is from RNAcentral. Lineage: Eukaryota; Metazoa; Chordata; Mammalia; Rodentia; Sciuridae.
GGAUUGUGGCUCAGUGGUAGAUCGCUUGCCUAGCAUGUGUGAAGCUCUGGGUUUGAUUCUCAGCACCA